CUCGAAAAUAAAGUCUCAAACGAAAAAUUUUUAUUCUAUAUUUUCGACUUCUUUUUUCGCGUAGAAUCACCACCUUUCCGCUUGUACCACUAGUUACCAACUACCUUGUAUAUCCAAAGUAUUCUUUAUAGUAUUUAUUAGAUAAUACAGAUUUCUAUACAGAUUUCACUCCUGUAGCAGUAUUCACAAAAAUAUCAAUCCGCUUAAAUACCUGCAGUGUAAUGGUAUGCAUAGUAAUAAAAAGUAAAAGAUAAUUUACAAUAUACUAUACCAAAUUCAAUAUCGAAUAAAGUAAUAGAUAAACUUACAGUUUGUUUGUAUAAACAUUGGAUAAAUUUUCCUAUCGUUUCGAUCUCUAGUGUAGUAGGAGUAAACAGAGUCCUAUUGAACAGUAUCUGUUUCGUCUGUUUGUUUGAGUCUGCUGUAGUAAAGUUAAAUAAUUGUUGGUCAGUUCAAUAAGUUCAAGUUGGUAGUUAGGCUAUUUCAAUGAUUUUCUAGUCGAUAGUCUUUCCUUAUAUUUGUUUGCAAAGCGUUCUAUUUCUUCUUUGUCUGUUUUAAUACCUAAAUUUUUUCUGAGCUCAUCAUUACGAACAUACCACGGAGGUUCAUAAUUGCGCGAAAUAUUAUCGACUAUAUCGUGUUUUCAUAAUUAUCACCUGCUAUUCCGCAUAGUUUAGUUACCAGUUAGGUCCAGAUGGGUUUUAUGAUAACUUUGUAUAUUAAUAACUUGUUUCCAAUUCAGAAUUUCGCUGCGGGUGUCUUUCUGUCCAAUACAUGUGUAUUCUUCUUGUUUUUAUUUACUCUAUCUUUUUCUUGUAUAAGGUAUUUCUAUAUCAACCUCUUGUCUAGGUAUCUUCCGAGAUAUUUUACUACUUUCGAUUUUGGUAUCUUUUAUCUUCUAUUUCUUCUAUUUCUUUUUAAAAUACUCUCAUGUCCUAUCCAGUGUUUCUUGAAGUAUUUUUGAUGAUCUUAUUGCGUUUUCGUGGAUCGCUAAAAUGGCCGUAUCAUUAGCAAAUGUUAAAUGUUUUGGAGAUAGUAGGCAUAUCUGCAAUAUAGGUGGUACAUAGAGUUGGUUUUAGCAAAACUGGGUCGAGGAACCCCUGCGUUUGCCUUGAAGAUAUUAGAGAUUUCCCCUUGAAUUUUUAUUAUGAAGCUUCUGUUGAAUAAGUACGAUUUCAGUAGGUAGUAGUUAGCUUCUGUUUUUGUAUAAUGUUUUGCGUAAUAAAUCAUGAUGCUAGACUUUAUAGAAAGUUUUUUUCGAUGUCAAGAAAUGCUGCUGUACAAUACAUUUUAUUCUCGCGGCCUGCCAAAACUGUGCACUUAUUCAGUUUUAACGUGUUUGCUUCGGAAGCCAAAUUGGUGGCUAGGUUUCUUUUUUGAAUUUUUUCUAGAAUUUUGUAUAUGGUUGGUAGGAGCGAAAUUAAUCUAUAUGAUGUGACUUGAUGUGAGUCUUUUUCAGGUUUUUGUAGCAAUAAGAUUUGAGCUGUUUUCCACCGUCUUAGGAAAUACUUCAGUAUAUAAUAAUUUAAAAGAUAAACAUAAAAACAUCUGUGCAUACAUGUAGCACUUUUACAAAAAUAUAAUCUUGCUUCUUUAUGCGAAGUAUAUCAAUAAAUAUCAUACUAGCUAUAUAAAAAGGAAUUAGAAAAGAAAAUGAAAUUAUUUUACAUUUGGCUGUAAAAAUGGCGAGACAUGUUUUUCUCAAUAAACAAUUUUGUAAUGACAAGUAGCUCUGUAAAAAGAGAGCUUGAUAAAUUUUGUUCCUUAAAACAAUUUUAACAUAUAAAAUAUUUAUACAUGUAUAAUAGAAUUCUAAAAUAUAACAUUUUUAUAUAAUGCAAAAAUACGAAUGUACUAAAAUUUUGCGAAUGAUAUAUAUUAGUAUCAUUAUAUUCUAAAUAACACAAACUAAUUUUAAGUGAAAGUACCCAAUUUUGAGAAACUCCAGAUACAUUCAUCGAGAAAUACCGCUUUAACAUUUUUCUUUUGUCUAUAUUGAUUGAUUUCCGUCAGGUCCUAUGAUAGAAUUUAAUCAAACAUUAGCCUGAUACGUUUUAUUGGAUCCCAUCCUAUCGUCUAUCUAACGUUAUGGAAAAAGCUAUAGAGCUACGGGGAGCUUACUGGAGAUGAAAACAUCGCCGACACCACGCAUGGGACUGGAAACAACGAUGGCAGGAUAUUACUUGAAUAAGAAGGAAGAAAAGGACAAACCGGUCCAGACACUGCCAAGCUUGGAAAAAUUCAACGUCGAACAACUUUUCUAUUUAUCCCUUGUCCUCAUCAACUUCGUGAUCGAUCGGUGACAAUAUCUUCACAAAACGACACUGAGCACACUGAGUAGCGGCGACAGCAAUAGGCAGCAUGUGGCUCGAAUAUCCGUAACUUGGACCAGGAAGUUCUUCUGCACGUGGCAUACUCUUCAGAUUUAGCACCGAGAAAUUAUCACUUAUUCAAGUCGUAGGACUGCAGCACUCAUUAGCUAGGCAGCACUUUCAAAAUGUUGCAGAAAUAUAAUAAUGUCCAGUAUCAGCUUUUCGUGACCGAAUCCGAAAUUUGACAGAUCUGUUAUAAACUUUAUCAAUAUAUAUGCACAAUCAUGGUAACGAGUCUCGUAACAGUGCUAAUGGAAUUUUAAAAUGUUUCGUGUAACAUAUGAUGUAUUCAUAAAAGAUGUCUAUAUGCGAUCGAAUACUUCCAUGAGACUGUGUAUAUUUCCAAGGACUAAAAACAGUCAAACCAAAGUUGAGUGUACAUGCACCUUUUAAUUCCAUGAUUAGAGUUUUUUUGUUAAGAAAUGACCCGAAUACUUCCAUAAGCCUGUGUAUAUUUUCAAGGACUAAAAGCAAUCAAACCAAAGUUGAGUGUACAUGCACCUUUUAAUUCCAUGAUUAUAGUUUUCUUGUUAAGAAAUGACCCAGUUAACAGAUUAAUGGUUGUUUUUAAUAGCACUUUUUUGAACUUGAAAAAUUUCGACAAGAAUUUAACUAUACCGUAGGGAUAGAGCUCAAUGAAUUCGAAGAACAAUAGCUGGAAUUAAUUCGUUGUCACGAAUGAAUUUUAUUGGAUGACUCACAGUAGCACUAACACGUUCUUGGCUAGCAGAAUUAUUUCGCACUCGAUCAAUACCACCGAAUUAUCAGUUUUUCAAAUUACUGAAGUCGUCACUUUUUUAGUUUAUUAAUAUUUUCAUAAUAUACUUCACAAUAUUAUUAGUAUAGUCUUCGUUAUAUUAUGUUGUAUUAUCCAUAUAUAUAUUUUUUUUAAGAAUUUAUUUUGUGAAGUAUUCUAUGAUAUUAUAUUUUUUGUAUUUAUAAACAAAACAUACUUUUGUCCUCAAAAAGUAAAAUACUUUUAAUCACUAAAGCAUGUAUUCGUUAUUAAUGUCGAUAACUUUCAGUUUUUGGUCGUUUCAAUUAUUAUAACUCUUGUUAUAAUUUGGAUAUCAAACUUUUUAUAGCCAACAUGUGAAAAUCAACUAAUUAUUAGUUCAAUAAAAUAAUUGUUGAGUAAAUAUUAUGUAAUAGAGAAAGAUACUAUGAAUUUUGAUAAAUAUUCGUGUCAAUGAAAUUUGGCAAUAUUUUUAUUCCCUCUAUAGUGGGUGCAGAAUCAUAAUUAGUUUAUUUUCAAAUUUUAUGAUUGGAUGCAAUUUAUUACCAAAGAUAUAUAACGAAUAAUUCAUUUAUUAGGUUGUUAAAAAAAAUUAUAUUCUUUUCACAAUUACUUUAAAGAAUUUAUAAUUACUUCGCUUUCAAACUAAAUAACUGGAUAAUGUUUAUUGUUAAUUUAUUUAUACAAAAUUUAUAACAAAAUAUUCACUAACACCAAGAUUAUGGCAAUUAAUUUAUUCUCACAUUUAAUGAGUGAUUAAAAUUUAUCAAAAAUUUAUGUAAGAUUGGAAUUGACUUACAAACUAUUUAAUAAGAAAAAUUUUUUGAUUACAAUGACGUUCUGAUUAGUCGUCCCAAGGCUCCUUUUAAAAAAUUGCCAAAUCCUUCAGACCGGUAAAUUUUAUUUCUCAACAAUGGAGCUAAAAAUAUUAUUUCUUUCCUUGGUGUAUCCUGUCAGUUCCUUUCAUAAAAGUACAUAUCGAUUUUAGAGUUUCCUCACAUAGUUGCCCUCGAGAAUACUCUCAAAUUAUGUGUCCACUUGGGAGCAAGUUCGAAAAUUUUAACUUUCAGGGCGCAUGUCCACUAGCAAGUAAGUAAUUCGCGACGUUUUUUGCCAGAGCGAUUCUCGUGACGUGUGUAAAGUUGUGAACAUAUCUGAGACAGUGGCCGAUAUUCAUUAGAAAUCACAGAUAAAACUUAAAAAAACAACAGAUACAAUUAAAACAAUAUAUCGAUUAAACAUUUAUCAUUAGAAUUAAGUAAAAAAACACUUGUCUUAAAUUCCACUUCAAAUAAGCGAUUUUUACUUUUAUACUGAUGAUGAAACAUUCGGAAAUUCUGACUUUUAUAAUCGAUAUGUGUCUUUCCUUAUAUUUGUUGAAUUUUUAAGAUAUUUAUCUAAAUUAUACUGCGUAUAGCAAAACUAACUUUCAGAUAUGUAUCUUCCAGUGUCUCAAAAAGAGGCUUAAAUCAUUCUAGAGUUAUCCGGGCAAUCGUAUACGCGGCAAUACGAAAUAGAUAUACAAGAGAAUGAUACGAAUUCCUAUUAUAAUUAACCUGUGGAUUUAUUAUAAAUAAUAUUGUAUAUGACGGAGAUGAGAGAACAUCGGUGCCUUUAUUUUGGAAUUUUUGGGCAGAUUCCCAAUACUUUAGUCUAGACUAUUUAUUACAGCUAUACUUAAAUGAUAAAACUUAGAAAUAGUUGUUAUGAUUCAAUCCUAUUAUGUUUGCCCGAGAUUUGUGACAGUGGGCUUGGGCUCGAGGUGACACAACUGAUCGCCGAACGUAGCCACGGUCACGGGAUGAACGUUUUUACAUAACAGAGAAAUGCCAAUAUUGUGGGACACGUUGUAUUAACAAUCAAACCCCGGGCAGGAGCAAUGUCAGCACUACGCGGGUCUGUCUAGCAACGGCGGCUGGAAUUUUGUUGAUAUCCCCAGCCAAUAUGCAACGAACAAACGCGAUCGUAAGGAGAGGAAAAUUCCCAUCAGUCUUUUAUUCUAGCGAUCACCUUGGCGAGUUUUGCACAUUGUCUUUACGUGCAGUAUUAUACCGAGCGUCACAGCAAACGUUACUUUGUGCUUCAAAAUAUAUUCUACGUUUAACAGAGAG
This is a long non-coding RNA of Bombus terrestris (buff-tailed bumblebee), 5219 nucleotides long. RefSeq lists it as uncharacterized. Lineage: Eukaryota; Metazoa; Arthropoda; Insecta; Hymenoptera; Apidae. The record is from RefSeq and is a predicted model, not a curated record. The transcript has 3 exons.